AAAAAAAAAAAAAAAACUGAAGGGAUUUUCGUGCAAAAAAGUUUAAGGGGAUCAGGACCCUUAGGUUAUGGGCAAAACAAUUUUUAAAGAAAAUUCCAGUUUUGCUCUUCUGGGCUCGAGGUCACUUUUCGAGAUUUCGAUCACUCAGCGGCUCUACGCAAAGGAAAGGCAUUGGUUUGAUCGUUCGUGGCACCCGCUUGGCAUUGAGAGUACGAUCCAGGCUCCAGUUCUACACCCCGUGGCUGAUACGCGAGGGUGACAUCUUUCAGUCAUUCAGGGUGAGCUACUUGGUCAUCCGUGGCCCCUGAAGGACCUCCUCUAUUUAUUUCUGUUUUUGUAUCCGACAGACAAUAUGUAGCCUUCGGUAUUUUUAGACUUAUAUUCCGUAUUAUGUUAGUGCUCUUGUACCCUUUGACCAGAUUUUGGGGUUGUCGUGACAUUUCUAGUUAUGAUAAGUAUUUAAGACUUGAUAACUUAUUCUUAUUUAAUUUUCCGCUUAUUUAACUUGUUAUUAGUAAUGUGGUUCGCCUACUCGGAGGGAUAGUGUAGGUGCCACCACGACUCGCGAAUUGGGUCGUAACAUAUAUAUAUACUAUGUUCAAAACACGAUUAAUAUAACAUUGUAGUUUGCACUCCGUAUCUAAAACUUUAGUAUGUUAGUGUUUACUACGAAUACAAAGUCUGCACUUUUUUUUACAUUAUUUUUUUUUUAAUAUGGGGUUCACUUUUUUUUACAGUGAGUUUGGAGAUGGUGGGUUCCACUUUUUUUUUUUUUUUAAUAUUGCUUGAUGUUGUUUAGUAUAAGGUCCACCCUUUAUGGGGUGCACUUUUUUUUUUUCUUUUUUUGAACAUUAUUAGUUUGUACUAUUUUUAUGCAUAUAAUAUAUAUACAUAUACUAUGUUCAAAACACGAUUGAUAUAACAUUAUAAUUUGUGUUCCGUAUCUAAAACUUUAUUAUAUUAGUGUUUGCUACGAAUACAAAGUCUGCAUUUUUUUUUUUGACAUUGUUUAUUUUUUUAAUAUGGGAUUCACUUUUUUUUUUAUAUAUAUUGCUUGAUUCUGUCAAUAUGGGAUACUAUGUUCAAAACACGAUUAAUAUAAUAUUGUAGUUUGUGCUCCGUAUUUAAAACUUUAUUAUAUUAGUGUUUGCUACGAAUACGCACGUGGCAAUGAAUCCAUCAUUAUUGACUUAAUGAGAUACUUUGGAAAUUACAUGAAUAUUGUUUGAUUUUUUAAUACGGGGUGCACUUUUUUUUUUUGGACAUUAUUAAUUUGCACUAUUUUUAUGCAUAUAUAUAUAUAUAUAUUUUAUUGGAACGGACGACGAAAAGGUUGAGCCAAGUGGCUCUUCUAUAUAGUUAAAAUAUGUUUAAUAUGGGGCCUAAUUUUUUUUUUUUAACAUUAUUUAUUUUUUUAAUAUGAGAUUCACUUUUUUUUUUAAUAUUGCUUGAUUUUGUUAAUAUGGGGUCCACUUUUUUUUUUCCCGUGAGUUUGGAUGUGGUGGGUUCCACUGGUUGGUGUUUAAUAUGGGGCCCACAAUUUUUUUUAGUUGUUGUUUAAUAUAUAUGGGCUCCACAAUUUUUUUAUUAGGGGCCCACAUUGGACGACGAAAAAGGAGCCCAACCGGCUCUUCUAUAUAGUUAGAAUAGAAAAUAGGCAAAUCGAGAUGUCAAUUUCCACACUUAAAUCACCUCUAAUUUUGAAUUUUACUAGUUUAAAUUCAAAUUCAUUGUUUGUUCAUCUUAAUCGUAGUAAAUUGAGCCGUGACCCAUUUAUUAACUCAACUACUUAUUCAUUAAAAUCUUAGCCUAACCCUUUAAUGCAUGCCUAAACUUGAGUUGGAACUUGGAAGUUCAAUUAUGUCGAGACACUCGAUCCACCUUAACA
Lycium barbarum (goji berry) is the source of this 1888-nucleotide long non-coding RNA. RefSeq lists it as uncharacterized. The transcript has 4 exons. The record is from RefSeq and is a predicted model, not a curated record. NCBI's taxonomy places the organism in Eukaryota, Viridiplantae, Streptophyta, Magnoliopsida, Solanales, Solanaceae.